GCCGGGUAUCAUGUGCGUCCACUUUGUAGAUUAACGUUUGCAUAUAAAAGUGCGUAUGACAAAUCAAAAGAAAUUCCUGUUGAUAAAAUGUACUUAUUCCACAAUACAACAAGAUCAGUACAUGGAAUAAUGUGAGCAACAUUUUAAGUACUGCAAACAACGAUUAAUCAACAUAUGCAUACUGUUUAACACAAUUGUUCAU
Molecule: long non-coding RNA, 202 nt
Filed under: Mytilus galloprovincialis (Mediterranean mussel)
Lineage: Eukaryota; Metazoa; Mollusca; Bivalvia; Mytilida; Mytilidae
Source: RNAcentral